AUGAUUAUCACCUUAGCAGAGUUAGAGAAGGCCACAAACCAUUUUGACAGAACUCGUGAGGUUGGUGGUGGAGGACAUGGCAUCGUUUAUAAAGGCCUUUUGGACCUACAAGUUGUAGCCAUCAAGUCAAAGAUCAUCGUACAGAGAGAAAUCGAUGAUUUCAUUAAUGAGGUUGCAAUUCUUUUUCAGAUCAACCAUAGAAAUAUCAUGAAGUUAAUUGGAUGUUGUCUCGAGGUAGAAGCCCCAUUGCUGGUUUACGAGUUCAUUUCAAAUGGAACACUUGAGCAUCAUCUGCAUGUAGAAGGACCAGUAUCACUAUCAUGGGACGGCCGAUUAAGGAUUGCACUUGAGAUUUGCACAACUCUAGCCUAUCUGUAUUCAGCGGCUUCAAGGCAUGUAUAUCAUAGAGAUAUUAAGCCCGCCAACAUACUUCUUGAUGAAAGUUUAACUACUAAGCUAUUAGAUUUUGGGGCUUCAAAGUUUAUUCCAAUUUAUCAAACGGGAGUGACUACUCACGGUCAAGGAACGACUGGCUACUUGGAUCCCAUGUACUAUUACAUUACACUGGUCACCUAA
This 576-nucleotide ribosomal RNA is filed under the name Triticum aestivum (bread wheat). Its description in RNAcentral is "partial small subunit ribosomal RNA". Lineage: Eukaryota; Viridiplantae; Streptophyta; Magnoliopsida; Poales; Poaceae. The record is from RNAcentral.